AGUGAACGCUGGCGGUAGGCCUAACACAUGCAAGUCGAACGGCAGCACAGUAAGAGCUUGCUCUUAUGGGUGGCGAGUGGCGGACGGGUGAGGAAUACAUCGGAAUCUACUUUUUCGUGGGGGAUAACGUAGGGAAACUUACGCUAAUACCGCAUACGACCUACGGGUGAAAGCAGGGGAUCUUCGGACCUUGCGCGAUUGAUUGAGCCGAUGCCGGAUUAGCUAGUUGGCGGGGUAAAGGCCCACCAAGGCGACGAUCCGUAGCUGGUCUGAGAGGAUGAUCAGCCACCCUGGAACUGGGACAAGGUCCAGACUCCUGCGGGACGCAACAGUGGGGAAUAUUGGACCGUGGGCGCAAGCCUGAUCCUGCCAUACCGCGUGCGUGAAGAAGGCCUUCGGGUUGUAAAGCCCUUUUGUUCGGAAAGAACAGCAGCAGGUUAAUACCCCGCUGUUCUGACGGUACCCAAAGAAUAAGCACCGGCUAACUUCGUG
This 492-nucleotide ribosomal RNA is filed under the name uncultured bacterium. RNAcentral's name for it is "partial 16S ribosomal RNA". It matches the Rfam family "Bacterial small subunit ribosomal RNA", at positions 29 to 507 of the family's 1533-position model. The record is from RNAcentral.